ACUAAAAGUACACAAUACGGAGUUAUUUAAGACAGAGAUUUGCCUGCUACCACUCAACUUGGCAGAAUGUGGCGCCGACAAUCAACAACUGAAUGGUCAAAUCCUCAAGCGAAAUGAAAAUUUCAAGCGUUCCGGUAUCAAAGCAAGAUCUACAAAAAACCGGUAAGUGCUUUACAGUUGUAAAAAAAAGUGUAUUCAAAAUAUAAUGAUUAAGACUGGAAUUUCUCGGUAAACUCUGGCGAAAAACAGUUCAGUUAAAAGUCACAAUUUUAACUGUUUUUCUUUCAUCGCAGGGAGUCGCUCGUUGGUGUCAAUGCUGGACUGAAAGUUUAUGGAAAUAUUUACUGGAGAAUUAUUAAAAGUUACUCCAGUAAACAUUCCGCCAACUGCUCCUGCCAUCAGGUAACUAGAACGACUGGCAUUGCUGUCAAGGUCACUAGUAGCUGCUGUGUUGCUUGGCGUGGCUGAGCUAUUGAGAACAAUCUCCCGUAAAGCAUGACUUGAAUAGCCGUUGGUAGUUGUCGUGCUUGGCGUGGUUUGAAAGCGGCCAACUUAUUCGAUAUUCGCCGCUGUUUUUCCAGAGGAUUAUGGCUGUAGCUGGAUAUGGAUUCCGGAUUGGCGUGGCCAGUGAGCUCUUAUAACCUCAGCGGGUCGAAAUCAUCACGGAGCGCUUGGAUGACUGUUUGCGACCACUCGAAUUUGUGAAUUUGCCGUCUAGGGAGGCGAUGGACACAAUACUCUACAUAUGUUUUGCCAAUGCAUUUCUACCAGUUGGAACCAUCUUGUACCAGACAUUGGAUUUGGGCUCUCAAUUGGACUCAGGUAGAAAUUUCCAGGAACGUUAUCACCCUUCGGACGGUGACCAACGUACUCGAUAAAUGCUCUGUGCGGAUCUCGCUCUCCACCAUCCGUCCUCCAAAUUUAGUUGUUUUAGUUUCUCGCCCGUUUUGUCGCAGUCGGUUAGUCUCCCUGGCGGUUCUUGGUUUGUCGCUCUUUGUAUUCGAUGUACUGUUCUGGCACGAUGAAAUCACUUAGUUGACAAUCAUGUUGUUCUUAGGUGUGUAACAUUGUUUCACCAGACCAGAUGGAGAAGAGAGCGGGGAUUUUGAAGGCCGAUUGCACCUGACGACCACAUCUUUUCAAUGUCUUGUUUCAACUGGUUGAGCGGCAUUUGGUUUGUUGCCAAGACCCUUUUCCUUGAAAUCUUUUUUCUUCAUGGAUAGCAUCGUUGAAACUUCCUCGAACUCAAUGAACGAAGAUUUUUCGAGGCCGAAGUUAUCUGUUGCCGGUGGACAUAGACGCUCCAGAAAGUACCUUCGUAAACCAUUGCGAUGCCUGAUGAUGCCACUAGAAGUACAUGUUUGCAGCACCUGGACUCUAGCCCCUUCAGAAUAAAUAUAAGGAGAUUCUUUCCAAUAUUUAUAGUUAUAGGUUGCUUCUAUUGGAAUUAUAAUCCUGAAUCUAUACACCGAAUCAUAACGGCGGAAGCCUUAGAGAAGCCUCGGUACGAGAACAUUAAAACGAGGCGGAUAAGGAUUUCAACAGGUUUCCUUCCCUCAAGACUCGCUCCAGGAAUAUCAUUUUCCCGUGAGUACCACUGGAAUAGUCGGUCGGCAUUAGAUAACAUAGGGUGAAGUAGAUCCGAAUGAUUAGCAUUUUCCGAUCAUCGUAGUGACGUCAUCUCCCGACCGCAUGGUAAACUUCGGAAAUUAACAUAGCGACGUAAUCAUGAAACCAGUAUGUUGCGGGCGAUUGUAGGCUUUAAGCUCAGACCAGGCCACGCAUCGUUUUGGUUUACGUUUGUAGACUAAUCAGCAGUUCGCGGGACAAGCAGAUAGAUGUUUCCGGAGGAACUCACGAGCCGACCUAUUCUCGAGCUACCUCACCCGAUGUUAUUUGGACCUUUUGCACAGGACACUACAUAACAUAGGGAGUCUGCACUGCCAGGCACUUUGAUGGACAAACAGAAAGGUGCUGGGAUCCUGUUCUGUAGUGUGGUCUUCUCCAUCUGUUGUGGCUGAAGAGACAUCUCCACAUGGCUGGAAGCAGAUGAAGUCCUCCAGGCUAGAUGCUUUCCACUGGAUAACUUUUUCUGCCACAUUCUCUUGAUCAAUUUUUGAGAAUCUGUGCUUUAUGGUAGCUCGUUACAUGUGGCUCCUUAUAUCACUCAGCUUUGGAUAAAACCUAUGGUUUGAGGGAGAUGGUUGGAUUUCAUCCUUUGCUAAUAUUUCGUUUUUUAUGUAGACAGUCAGGUGUCUCCGCAUUUCAUGGGUGUCUUUCACUCCCUCAUUGACAAGCUUUUCAAUUUGUCUGAUGAUCCUGUCAUCCACAGGCUGAGGUAGGCUGCUUCCCUGGAAUGAAAUGACAAUAAUAUGUGUUAAGAUAUUAAUUUCUCUCAAGGCAUGUUAUACUAAAGUUAAAACAGAGAGAAGUGUUAUAGCUCCAACAAGACACCUUAU
Molecule: long non-coding RNA, 2459 nt
Organism: Stylophora pistillata
Lineage: Eukaryota; Metazoa; Cnidaria; Anthozoa; Scleractinia; Pocilloporidae
Source: RefSeq, a predicted model, not a curated record